RNAcentral lists this ribosomal RNA (102 nucleotides) under Mesocricetus auratus (golden hamster). The record is from RNAcentral. Lineage: Eukaryota; Metazoa; Chordata; Mammalia; Rodentia; Cricetidae.
GUUUCUGGCUAUACCAUCCAAAUGUGACUGAUCUCAUCUGAUCUAAUAAACUAAGCAGGAUCAGAUGUACUUGGAUUAUGGAAUAACUGGGCCCUAAAAACU